Molecule: ribosomal RNA, 332 nt
Filed under: uncultured eukaryote
Lineage: Eukaryota
Description: partial 18S ribosomal RNA
Rfam family: Eukaryotic small subunit ribosomal RNA
Source: RNAcentral
CCCUUAGAUGUUCUGGGCUGCACCCGUGCUACACUGGCAGGUUCAGCGAGCUUCAUGUCCUGAUCUGAAAGGAAUGGGAAAUCUUUUCAAAACCUGCCGUGCUUGGGAUAGAUGUUUGCAAUUAUUCAUCUUCAACGAGGAUUGCCUUGUAAGCGCACGUCACCAGCGUGCAUUGAAUACGACCCUGUAUUCUGUACACACCGCCCGUCGCUCCUACCGAUUGAAGUUUUCGGUGAGUUGACAGGAGGAUUUUUUUGAAACUGGUUCGCCAGUGGAUUUUAGAUCCAAAUGCCAACGAAUCGAUGGCUUUAGAGGAAGGAGAAGUCGUAACA